RNAcentral lists this transfer RNA (68 nucleotides) under Panesthia strelkovi. RNAcentral's name for it is "tRNA-Gln". Lineage: Eukaryota; Metazoa; Arthropoda; Insecta; Blattodea; Blaberidae. The record is from RNAcentral.
UACAUUUUGGUGUAUGAUGCACAGAAAUUUUUGAUAUUUCUGGAAUAGUUUAACUCUAUAAAAUGUAG